UACGGACAUAUCACGUUGGAACACCGUUUCUCGUACGAUCACUGAAGUUAAGCCACGUCCACUGUGAUCAGUACUUAGAUGGGCGACCAUUUGAGAAUACCAG
Acanthosepion pharaonis is the source of this 103-nucleotide non-coding RNA. The record is from the annotation of a GenBank genome assembly. NCBI's taxonomy places the organism in Eukaryota, Metazoa, Mollusca, Cephalopoda, Sepiida, Sepiidae.